UACACCAGGCAAAGUCAUAGUUUCUAUCCUUCUUGUUCUCCAUUACUGUAAACGCCACAGGGAAACAGCUUUUCAAGGACAAGGCAUGAAUGGGACAGCCAUUGCAAAUUUUUCCUGUGUCAUUUUUAAUGUUUCGUUCAUGAACUGCACCUGGCAUGUGGGCAGGACUGCUACAGAAGACACCCAAUAUUUCCUGUACUGGAGGCCCUUGGAGAAUGAAGAUAUCACAGAAUGCCAAAAUUACAUCAAAGAUACCUACGGAAGGCACAUAGGAUGUCAAUUUCAAAACGUGACAAUAGAAAAUAACAAUGCUUAUUUCCUGGUAAAUGGAUCCAGAAAUGGACGAAGUGUUCAGUCAUAUGAGAAGAAGAUACUGCUAUACAAAAUAGAAAAACUCACACCUCCAUUAAAUGUCACAGUGAACUGUACAGAAGCUUCUCAUGGAUGUACUAUUUGGUGGCAACCACCUCGCACAAGUCAUGUGAAAAUGAGGAGUUGUUUCAAAUAUCAAAUUGUCAUAGAAAACAAGGCUGAUGCUGAGAAAAACACCAAAACCACACCUAAACCACCACUAAUCAUUGAAAGUAACUCCUACCUAUAUGAAAGCUUCAGCUCAGGAAAAAGGUACAGCGUCAAAAUCAGAGCAACAGAUGCGGACCUUUGUUUAGUAAGCUCAAACUGGGGAGAGUGGAGUACACCUGUGGAGUUUGGAACACAACAACUUACAUCUACUUCAUCGUAUAUGCUGUUUCUGAUACCAAGCCUGGCAGCAGGUCUCACAUUUUUCCUUUGCAUGACAGUAAGGGCUUAUUUGAAAAAAACAUCUGCUAUAGUACCACAGCCAAGAGACCCAUUCCGUGAGCCCUCUCCAAUGGACUUCCAGACAGAAUAUAUGACUUUAUUAAAAAAACAAGAAACUGAAGAAGUAACAGAUAUUGAAGAAGUGAUGAAAUGCAAGUGAAAUGAGCAACUUGAUUUUCUUGAAGCAUAUAUACCUUAUUGGCAAAAAAUUAAGAGGUUUUUCAUAUUCUCUCGCUCCUGGAAGCAAGGAGAAGAGCACUGGCUGUAAAGACAAUUCCCCAAGAUCUGAUCUCUAAAAGUCUCCUUGUAUUUGGUUGCAUUUUCUAUGAACAGUUAAGUUUGGACUAUUUCUGGGUUUUAUUAUGAUGAAUACUGCAGUAUUUCAGAAAAAAAUAUUUCAGUAUUGCUUUGGAAGCUAUUUUACUGUUUUUCCACAACAUGCAAAAGAAUAAGUAAGAACAACUUAAGGGGUUUAUUCAGGAUCUCCAGUGGCUCAGUGUCUCAAAAAAGGUACAGCCAUACUGAGAUUGUGAUCAGGAAUGAAAUUUGACAUCUGUAUGAAUGCUUGCUGUAUGAAGCCAAGAUCAAACCUCUUAAGAAAGAUUACUUGCUCAUACAAAAACCAGAGAAGGAUCCUUCUACUUCAGUUAUAAUCGCCAAAAGAUAAAAGCACCUGCAUUAACUGGGAAAACUAAAGCCAACACUCACUGAAAUCUAAGGACAAUUAAACAGAUACAGUCUACUGGAUCCUCUCCAUCUUGCUCCACACAGAUUUGAUCAUGGCCAUUGGUGCACCCCUUACAUCCCCACUGCUUUCACUGUGAUAGCUGCUGAGACAGAAAAGUCAUUAAGAAAACUUGUUCACUACCAGCACGUUAAUAAGAAAACCAUAAACCCUAUCCAUGAAACAGUGGAGGUGGUAGUAGGUGUGGGACUAAGGUAUCACUUUCCCAUCCCUGGGCAAAGACCCCAAAAUCAGUGGAAAAGAAUGGUGAGGCUUUAGAAUAUUUUAACUAAGUGCCUUGGAUGCUCACACAGGAAGAAGACCUUUAUUCUGGUCUCCUACGGCUAUUCCUCUGUUCUGUGCUAAAAACCAGAAAGUUUUUGAUGCAAGGAAAAAAUUAAUGGUCUUGUCUACCAGUUGUAUUUUUGUGACAAUGCAAAAGCUGCAACACACCAGUACAGCAAAACAGCUGACAGCUCUUGUGAAAACUCCUGGUUUUGUUGGAGCAAUAAAUUGUUAUUCAAGUUUUUCUAAGUUUUAAGAAACAUUUGGUUUGAUAUUGUUUCUGCGAUGACUUCACUCCCUGUAGAGCCAAAAGUCUGUAAACAGCCCUAGUGUCUCUGCCCAGGUUUUUCUUCUCUCCUUUAUUCUUUUUUCCUCUUUCUCUUCCUCUUCCUCUUUCUCUUUCUCUUCUUAUUUUGCUUCCAACUCCUGGUUGAUAUCAAGGCCACUGAAGUUAUCUGGUCUCUGAAGGAUGACAGACUUUGGUAGUACCCUUAGUAGCACCUCUUUGCCUGGGAAUUUUUAAAAUGUGUUUAAUUUGUUUGCAUUUUUGAAAGCCUUAGGUAAGGAGUUUGCUUAAAUAUAGACAAGAAAAGAAAU
Molecule: RNA transcript, 2407 nt
Organism: Motacilla alba alba
Lineage: Eukaryota; Metazoa; Chordata; Aves; Passeriformes; Motacillidae
Gene name: granulocyte-macrophage colony-stimulating factor receptor subunit alpha-like
Exons: 10
Source: RefSeq, a predicted model, not a curated record